Molecule: unclassified non-coding RNA, 378 nt
Filed under: plant metagenome
Description: partial contains 5.8S ribosomal RNA, internal transcribed spacer 2, and large subunit ribosomal RNA
Rfam family: 5.8S ribosomal RNA (bases 1-105)
Source: RNAcentral
GAAAUGCGAUAAGUAAUGUGAAUUGCAGAAUUCAGUGAAUCAUCGAAUCUUUGAACGCACCUUGCGCUCCUUGGUAUUCCUUGGAGCAUGCCUGUUUGAGUAUCAUGAAAUCUUCAAAGUAAAUCUUUUGUUAACUCGAUUGGUUUCUACUUUGGUAUUGGAGGUCUUUGCAGCUUCACACCUGCUCCUCUUUGUUCAUUAGCUGGAUCUCAGUGUUAUGCUUGGUUCCACUCGGCGUGAUAAGUUAUCUAUCGCUGAGGACACUGUAAAAGGUGGCCAAGGUAAAUGCAGAUGAACCGCUUCUAAUAGUCCAUUGACUUGGACAAUACUUUUAUGAUCUGAUCUCAAAUCAGGUAGGACUACCCGCUGAACUUAAGC